CACUAAGCGGAGGAAAAGAAACUAACCAGGAUUCCCCUAGUAACGGCGAGUGAAGAGGGAAUAGCCCAGCACCGAAGCCUGCGGUAGGUUUACUGCUAGGCAAUGUGGUGUUUGGGUCGACUCGCGGGACUGCCACUCCACUCGAAGUCCAACACUGAGUAUGGUUCCCUGGAUUUGGCCCAAAGAGGGUGAAAGGCCCGUGCGAGUGGAGGUUCAGACAUGUGAGGCAGUUCACCAGGUCGACCUUCGAGUCGGGUUGUUUGGGAAUGCAGCCCAAAGUGGGUGGUAAACUCCAUCCAAGGCUAAAUACUAGCACGAGUCCGAUAGCGAACAAGUACCGUGAGGGAAAGUUGAAAAGUACUUUGAAGAGAGAGUAAACAGUACGUGAAACCGCAUAGAGGUAAACGGGUGGCGUCAAGCUGCAAGCCUAGAGGAUUCAGUUGGUCGGUGUGUAUGCGCGCCUGGCGUGUCUGUCGGACGGACAGUCUACUGCGAAAUGGUGGGCCUACUCUUCUUCUCGGGGGAGUAGGAUCGGCGUUCCGGGUGGUUGCCGGAGCCGGCUGUCUUGUCUGUCUGCGCAGUGUGGAUGGACCGGCCAAUGCACUUCCUCUAUUUGGUGAGCACCACGACUGGUGGAACUGCCAGUCUGCCGUAGUCAAGUCGGGUUUGGUCGAUGGCUCCUCGUGGGUUGUUGGCUGGAUUCCGAUCACAGGCAAACUCAGUGAGCGGCGCGUGUGGGCAUUCGUCUGCACUCGUGUUAUCGAGCACUGGUUGUCAACGGGUCUGUCUGUCGGUAUUAGUCGAUGCAGUGGCCGGCAGAUGUCCUGGUGGACUACGGUGGUAUGAAUAACUGUGCAGGGCACCAGGGUUGUCGGUCUCUAGUUUCCGUCUCGUGCGCACACACUGCAUGUGGGCGUGGGGUGUUGGUGCUGGCUGCCAAUUACUGGGCCUGAUUGUCGUGUUGCCUGCGCAAAGUGGGUCCGGCGAUGGUCUGGUGUUGGAUGGUCAUGCAUUUACGCAAUGCCUCCUGUACGAGUCGGCGAGGACCAUACAGUCUGUGGUGUUGUGGUAGACGAGCUACCCGACCCGUCUUGAAACACGGACCAAGGAGUUUAUCAUGCACGCGAGUCAAUGGGUCCAUCGAAACCCAAAGGCGCAGUGAAAGUGAAGUCUCGACUUGUUCUCGGGAUGUGGUGAGAUGCCAUUGUUUCUCGCACCUGCUUCUCUGUGUCUUUCUCUUUUGGGGGGGGCAUGGAGAAGUUUAACAGUACCAGGCACAAGAGCAGUGGCCGCAUCACCGGCCCGUCCCAUGAUGUGGUCGUUGGAAAGGCAUUGAUCGUCGUUUCGGCGGUCAGCGUUGGAACCGGCGCGUCAUCGGGGCGGAGCAGGAGCGUGCACGAUAAGACCCGAAAGAUGGUGAACUAUGCUUGCGUAGGUUGAAGCCAGAGGAAACUCUGGUGGAGGACCGCAGCGAUUCUGACGUGCAAAUCGAUCGUCAAACGUGAGUAUAGGGGCGAAAGACUAAUCGAACCAUCUAGUAGCUGGUUCCCUC
RNAcentral lists this ribosomal RNA (1552 nucleotides) under Spirometra sp. JB-2014. RNAcentral's name for it is "eukaryotic LSU rRNA". It matches the Rfam family "Eukaryotic large subunit ribosomal RNA", at positions 44 to 961 of the family's 3401-position model. The record is from RNAcentral. Lineage: Eukaryota; Metazoa; Platyhelminthes; Cestoda; Diphyllobothriidea; Diphyllobothriidae.